Pelobates cultripes (western spadefoot toad) is the source of this 594-nucleotide non-coding RNA. Lineage: Eukaryota; Metazoa; Chordata; Amphibia; Anura; Pelobatidae. The record is from the annotation of a GenBank genome assembly.
UUUAAUUACAUACAGGAGGCUCCUGUAGGGUCUAGCAAGCUAUUAACCGAGCAGGAGAUGAGAAAUUCUAUGUUAAACAGAAUUUAAAAUAAAGGAAGUAUAAACAUUAGCUGACUUUACAGGAAGUGUUUAGGGAGGCUGUGCAAGUCACAUGCAGAGAGGGGUGUCUAGGGUUGUAUAAACAAAGUGAUUUAACUCCUAAAUGGCCAAGAAUUGAGGAGUGAGAAUGCAGGGGCAUGAUCUAUACAGCAAAACAGCAUCAUUAAGCUAGAGUGUCCCUUUAAGGCAGAAGUUCCCAAAAUGCAGAACUGCAAUUCCAAUUAUAGUCUGACAGCCUUAUUGCUCAACUUGGGGCUAAUCCUGAGGAUAUUGAUAAAAAAAAAAAAAAAAAGUGGGAGAUCACGCAUACAUGAAGACUUGCUUAGUGAAUAAAAAAGGUUAACGCCAUAGCUCUCCAAUUUUGGAUCACUGGACUUGACACCUAUAAUGUGAAUGAAUAAUGCAGAUUGAACGUGAAAUGGAAAUUCAUCUAGUCUACGGCUAAGGAGCUGUAUUUGAGUCUUGGGAAAUCUUAAAAUUUUUAUAAAACCACAC